This 301-nucleotide ribosomal RNA is filed under the name uncultured bacterium. Its description in RNAcentral is "partial 16S ribosomal RNA". It matches the Rfam family "Bacterial small subunit ribosomal RNA", at positions 509 to 807 of the family's 1533-position model. The record is from RNAcentral.
CAGCAGCCACGGGAAAACGAAGGGGGCUAGCGUUGUUCGGAUUUACUGGGCGUAAAGGGCGCGCAGGCGGACUGAUAAGUCAGGGGUGAAAUCCCAAGGCUCAACCUUGGAACUGCCUUUGAUACUGUUUGUCUUGAGUUCGAGAGAGGUAAGUGGAACUGCGAGUGUGGAGGUGAAAUUCGUAGAUAUUCGCAAGAACACCAGUGGCGAAGGCGGCUUACUGGCUCGAAACUGACGCUGAGGCGCGAAAGCGUGGGGAGCAAACAGGAUUAGAUACCCCUGUAGUCCCUGUCUCUUAUAC